GUGGGCGUAGCUCAGUUGGUUAGAGCGCCAGGUUGUGGUCCUGGAGGCCGUGGGUUCAAAUCCCACCGCUCACCCCU
Molecule: transfer RNA, 77 nt
Filed under: Salinibacter sp. 10B
Lineage: Bacteria; Pseudomonadati; Rhodothermota; Rhodothermia; Rhodothermales; Salinibacteraceae
Description: tRNA-His
Rfam family: tRNA
About the family: Transfer RNA (tRNA) molecules are approximately 80 nucleotides in length.
Source: RNAcentral